This is a non-coding RNA of Cyanistes caeruleus (blue tit), 442 nucleotides long. Lineage: Eukaryota; Metazoa; Chordata; Aves; Passeriformes; Paridae. The record is from RefSeq and is a predicted model, not a curated record.
AUGCAGUGGCUGCCCCAGCUCCGAGUGCAAUGCCCAAACCAGCAAGCAGAAAAAGCCUGCUCAAGAUCACUAGCUCCUUGAUUACAAAGGCAUCUCUGAGACUGCCAAUAUAAACAAUUGAAUCAGAAGUGCUGGUAUGAAACUACGAUAAAUAUUUAUGUUCGCUGCAAUACCAGGAACAACUUCCUUGAAAGGAGAUUUGAGACCUCGACAUUACCUUUAACUCCUGUUGACUUCAGUGGGUGACUGAGACUUCAACAGCAGACAGGAUCAGGCUGUCUGUGUCACCUGUGUGUAGACAAAGCUACAAGCAGGGCACUGAGUCACACACUAUUGUGAGUCAUGGAGAAAAGAGCAACAAGAACAACCUGAACCUGUGAUGACAGGAGUCCAUGCAGCACCUCAGAGAAGAGGCAUUCUCCUUUAUCCCGGCACUUUACCU